Molecule: small RNA, 124 nt
Filed under: Marmota monax (woodchuck)
Lineage: Eukaryota; Metazoa; Chordata; Mammalia; Rodentia; Sciuridae
Source: RNAcentral
GCUGUGCAUGGUGGCACAUGCCUGUAAUCCCAGAGGCUCAGGAGGCUGAGACAGGAGGAUUGGAGUUUGAAAGCCAGCCUUGUCAAAAGGAGGAGCUAAGCAACUCAGUGAGACCCUGUCUCUA